CCUACGGGAGGCAGCAGUGGGGAAUAUUGCGCAAUGGGCGAAAGCCUGACGCAGCGACGCCGCGUGAGGGAUGAAGGUCUUCGGAUCGUAAACCUCUGUCAGCAGGGACGAACGGUCACUGUGCUAAUCAGCAGUGAAUUGACGGUACCUGCAAAGGAAGCACCGGCUAACUCCGUGCCAGCAGCCGCGGUAAUACGGAGGGUGCGAGCGUUAAUCGGAAUUACUGGGCGUAAAGCGCUCGUAGGCGGUAUGUCAAGUCAAGGGUGAAAUCCCCGCGCUCAACGUGGGAACUGCAUUUGAAACUGGCAAACUGGAGUGUGUGAGAGGAUAGUGGAAUUCCAGGUGUAGGAGUGAAAUGCGUAGAUAUCUGGAGGAACAUCAGUGGCGAAGGCGACUAUCUGGCACAUAACUGACGCUGAGGAGCGAAAGCGUGGGGAGCAAACAGGAUUAGAUACCCUUGUAGUC
RNAcentral lists this ribosomal RNA (465 nucleotides) under uncultured bacterium. RNAcentral's name for it is "partial 16S ribosomal RNA". It matches the Rfam family "Bacterial small subunit ribosomal RNA", at positions 338 to 795 of the family's 1533-position model. The record is from RNAcentral.